UGCAAGUCGAACGAAGACCCGGAGCUUGCUCCGGAAUUCUUAGUGGCGAACGGGUGAGUAACGCGUGGGAAUCUACCUAGAAAUGGGGAAUAACUAUUGGAAACGAUAGCUAAUACCGCAUAAUCCCUUCGGGGGAAAGGCUUCGGUCGUUUUUAGAUGAGCCCGCGUCAGAUUAGGCUGUUGGUGAGGUAAUGGCUCACCAAACCUACAAUCUAUAGCUGGUCUGAGAGGAUGAUCAGCCACACUGGGACUGAGACACGGCCCAGACUCCUACGGGAGGCAGCAGUGGGGAAUAUUGGACAAUGGGGGCAACCCUGAUCCAGCAAUGCCGCGUGAGUGAUGAAGGCCUUAGGGUUGUAAAGCUCUUUCAGAAGUGAAGAUGAUGACGGUAACUUCAGAAGAAGCUCCGGCUAACUCCGUGCCAGCAGCCGCGGUAAUAUGGAGGGAGCUAGCGUUGUUCGGAAUUACUGGGCGUAAAGAGCGUGUAGGCUGUUAGGUAAGUCAGAGGUGAAAUCCCUAAGCUCAACUUAGGAACUGCCUUUGAUACUAUCUUACUAGAGAUCGAGAGAAGUUGGCGGAAUUCCAAGUGUAGAGGUGAAAUUCGUAGAUAUUUGGAAGAAACACCAGUGGCGAAAGCGGCCAACUGGCUCGUUUCUGACGCUGAGACGCGAAAGCGUGGGUAGCAAACAGGAUUAGAUACCCUGGUAGUCACGCCGUAA
Molecule: ribosomal RNA, 719 nt
Filed under: uncultured marine bacterium
Lineage: Bacteria
Description: bacterial SSU rRNA
Rfam family: Bacterial small subunit ribosomal RNA
Source: RNAcentral